UACGUAGGUGGCAAGCGUUGUCCGGAUUUACUGGGCGUAAAGAGCGCGCAGGCGGUUGGAUAAGUCGAAUGUGAAAGCCCCCGGCUUAACUGGGGAGGGUCAUUCGAUACUGUUCAACUUGAAGGCAGGAGAGGGCAGCAGAAUUCCCGGUGUAGUGGUGAAAUGCGUAGAUAUCGGGAGGAAUACCAGUGGCGAAGGCGGCUGCCUGGCCUGUUCUUGACGCUGAGGCGCGAAAGCUAGGGGAGCAAACGGG
Molecule: ribosomal RNA, 253 nt
Filed under: uncultured bacterium
Lineage: Bacteria
Description: partial 16S ribosomal RNA
Rfam family: Bacterial small subunit ribosomal RNA
Source: RNAcentral